ACUCAAAUGAAUUGACGGGGGCCCGCACAAGCGGUGGAGCAUGUGGUUUAAUUCGACGCAACGCGAAGAACCUUACCCAGACUUGACAUGCAUUCGACGCGUGUGGAAACACACGUUCCCUUCGGGGCGGAUGCACAGGUGCUGCAUGGCUGUCGUCAGCUCGUGUCGUGAGAUGUUGGGUUAAGUCCCGCAACGAGCGCAACCCUUGUCCUUAGUUGCUAACGGGUAAAGCCGAGCACUCUAGGGAGACUGCCGGUGAUAAACCGGAGGAAGGUGGGGAUGACGUCAAGUCCUCAUGGCCCUUACGUCUGGGGCUACACACGUGCUACAAUGGUCGGUACAGAGGGUUCCGAAACCGCGAGGUGGAGGCAAUCCCAAAAAACCGGUCUCAGUUCGGAUUGCAGUCUGCAACUCGACUGCAUGAAGUCGGAAUCGCUAGUAAUCGCUGAUCAGCAGGCAGCGGUGAAUACGUUCCCGGGCCUUGCACACACCGCCCGU
Molecule: ribosomal RNA, 498 nt
Filed under: uncultured bacterium
Lineage: Bacteria
Description: partial 16S ribosomal RNA
Rfam family: Bacterial small subunit ribosomal RNA
Source: RNAcentral